RNAcentral lists this ribosomal RNA (258 nucleotides) under uncultured bacterium. RNAcentral describes it as "partial 16S ribosomal RNA". It matches the Rfam family "Bacterial small subunit ribosomal RNA", at positions 1243 to 1500 of the family's 1533-position model. The record is from RNAcentral.
AGGGAGGCGGACGCGUGAGCGCGAGCGGACCCCAAAAACGGCCCCCCAGUUCGGACUGCAGCCUGCAACCCGGCUGCACGAAGCCGGAAUCGCUAGUAAUCGCGGAUCAGCAUGCCGCGGCGAAUACGUUCCCGGGCCUUGUACACACCGCCCGUCACACCAUGAGAGUUUGUAACACCCAAAGCCGGUGGGGUAACCUUUUGGAGCCAGCCGUCUAAGGUGGGACAGAUGAUUGGGGUGAAGUCGUAACAAGGUAGC